This 1472-nucleotide ribosomal RNA is filed under the name metagenome. RNAcentral describes it as "bacterial SSU rRNA". It matches the Rfam family "Bacterial small subunit ribosomal RNA". The record is from RNAcentral.
AGAGUUUGAUCCUGGCUCAGGAUGAACGCUGGCGGCGUGCCUAAUACAUGCAAGUCGAACGGAGAGCAUAAUGAAAUUUAUUUCAAUGUGCUUCUCAGUGGCGAACGGGUGAGUAACGCGUUGGUGACCUGCCCCGAAGAGGGGGACAACAGUUCGAAAGGACUGCUAAUACCCCAUGUACUCGUUUAGAUUAGAUGCUUUUCGAGUAAAGGAGUAAUCCGCUUCGGGAGGGGCCUGCGUCCCAUCAGCUAGUUGGUAGGGUAAUGGCCUACCAAGGCUAUGACGGGUAGGGGACCUGAGAGGGUGACCCCCCACAAUGGAACUGAAACACGGUCCAUACACCUACGGGUGGCAGCAGUAGGGAAUAUUGCUCAAUGGGCGAAAGCCUGAUGCAGCAACGCCGCGUGCACGAUGAAGGCCCUCGGGUCGUAAAGUGCUUUUUUAGGGGAAGAGAAAGGACGGUACCCUAAGAAUAAGCCUCGGCUAACUACGUGCCAGCAGCCGCGGUAACACGUAGGAGGCGAGCGUUAUCCGGAUUUACUGGGCGUAAAGCGCGUGCAGGCGGCACGGCAAGUUGGAUGUGAAAGCUCCUGGCUUAACUGGGAGAGGUCGUUCAAAACUGCCGAGCUAGAGAAUGGGAGAGGGAGGUGGAAUUCAGGGUGUAGUGGUGAAAUGCGUAGAUAUCCUGAGGAACACCAGUGGCGAAGGCGGCCUCCUGGCCCAUUUCUGACGCUCAGACGCGAAAGCUAGGGUAGCAAACGGGAUUAGAGACCCCGGUAGUCCUAGCUGUAAACGAUGUAGACUUGGCGUUGGAGGUGUUAAAACCUUCAGUGCCGUAGCUAACGCGAUAAGUCUACCGCCUGGGGAGUACGGUCGCAAGAUUAAAACUCAAAGGAAUUGACGGGUCUCCGCACAAGCAGCGGAGCGUGUGGUUUAAUUCGAUGUUACGCGAAGAACCUUACCAGGGUUUGACAUAUAAGUUGUAGGGAGCCGAAAGGUGACCGACCCUUCGGGGAGCUUAUACAGGUGCUGCAUGGCUGUCGUCAGCUCGUGUCGUGAGAUGUUCGGUUAAGUCCGCUAACGAGCGCAACCCCCGUUGUGUGUUACAAGUGUCACACGGGACCGCCGGCGCUAAGCCGGAGGAAGGUGGGGAUGAUGUCAAGUCAGCAUGGCCUUUAUAUCCUGGGCUACACACACGCUACAAUGGCUAGAACAAUAGGUCGCGAAACCGCGAGGUGGAGCCAAUCCCUAAAUCUAGUCUCAGUUCAGAUUGUAGGCUGCAACUCGCCUGCAUGAAGUCGGAGUUGCUAGUAAACGCAGGUCAGCAACACUGCGUUGAAUACGUUCCCGGAGAUUGUACACACCGCCCGUCACGUCAUGGGAGCUGGUAACGCCUGAAGUCGGUAUCCUAACCGCAAGGAGGGAGCCGCCGAAGGCGGGAUUGGUGACUGGGACGAAGUCGUAACAAGGUA